Hipposideros armiger (great roundleaf bat) is the source of this 929-nucleotide long non-coding RNA. RefSeq lists it as uncharacterized. The record is from RefSeq and is a predicted model, not a curated record. NCBI's taxonomy places the organism in Eukaryota, Metazoa, Chordata, Mammalia, Chiroptera, Hipposideridae. The transcript has 2 exons.
CUCAGACCCAGCUGCAGGGGUUUUCCGGGUCAGAGAAGAAAAAAAAACCAGCACUUUCUGUGUCUGGACGGAUGAUUUCCUAUGGACGCUCUACACCCUGUGUCCUAAGAAGACUGACCUGGGCAAACCUGGGACACCACCCUCUCCCGGGCUGCAGGGGCCUCGCCCUGGAGGCAGCAGGUGGACGGUCUGCUGCGGCCGAGUCCAUCCUGCACACACCAGGCCCAGCCUGGCAUCCAGGCACGUGGCACCAAGGCUCACAGUGACCCUGCCACCAGCCCAAGAUGAGCCAACCAUCAGAUCACAGCGAAGCAGUUCAGGAGCGAGACCCACCUCUGACUGCUGGUUUUUGGGGACAAAAAGUCCCCCUGGUCGCUCACACCAGUUGCUGCCACGAGCCUCUGGACCGGACAUUGGAGAGCUGGCACUCACUCAGGGCUUGUGACCCAGAGUACAGCCAGAGCCGGGUGCCUGCCAGACACGCCACCAAAGCACUCCACCAAGACCAGAAAGAUAAGUUUCUCUUAUCGCUACCCCUACCUGUGGGGUCAGAACAAGAAAGACGCAGAGUGGCCCGAGAAUCCAGCAGCCCCUCUGACGACCUCCCUUUCUCCUCUUCCUGCCCCUCCCCCACAAGAGGCUGUGGAAAGUGGCUUCUCUUCCCACUGCACCACUGGGAAGGAGGGGUGGGUGAGUGGGUGGAGGCCUGGGCCUGGAUGUCAAGCGCUGGGUCUCAAUCCUGCCUGUGCUGUGUGAUGCUGGGCAAGCACCUUCCCCUCUCCGUGUGGCUCACCUGAGCAGCUCUAACAAGGUCCGCCCACUAGAAUGCAGGCCCCAUGAGGAAUCCUGUUUUGUUCAUUGCUGUAUCUCCAAUGCUCGGCAGUGCUUAGCACAUAAUAUCUGCUCAAUAAAUACGUGCUCAGGAGCUA